This 254-nucleotide ribosomal RNA is filed under the name uncultured bacterium. RNAcentral describes it as "partial 16S ribosomal RNA". It matches the Rfam family "Bacterial small subunit ribosomal RNA", at positions 524 to 776 of the family's 1533-position model. The record is from RNAcentral.
UACGGAGGAUCCAAGCGUUAUCCGGAUUUAUUGGGUUUAAAGGGUGCGUAGGCGGCCCUGUAAGUCAGUGGUGAAAUACUGCAGCUUAACCGUAGCAUUGCCAUUGAUACUGUAGGGCUUGAGUACAGAUGAGGUAGGCGGAAUUGAUGGUGUAGCGGUGAAAUGCAUAGAUACCAUCAAGAACACCGAUUGCGAAGGCAGCUUACUAAGCUGUAACUGACGCUGAGGCACGAAAAGCGUGGGGAUCGAACAGG